This is a long non-coding RNA of Sinocyclocheilus rhinocerous, 143 nucleotides long. RefSeq lists it as uncharacterized. The record is from RefSeq and is a predicted model, not a curated record. The transcript is spliced from 3 exons. Lineage: Eukaryota; Metazoa; Chordata; Actinopteri; Cypriniformes; Cyprinidae.
CGUUUUAGUAAUCAUUACGUUCUCACCCCGUGGCGGAAAAAUAUACGAGCUGUGGCGGUUUAGGAAAAUACCUGUAAAUGGCACAUCAUGCACGUGAGGUUAUCUGACGGAGAGACACAAAGCAAAGUUGCCAACUCUUGCAA